CCUACGGGUGGCAGCAGUGGGGAAUAUUGCGCAAUGGGCGAAACCCUGACCCAGCAACGCCGCGUGAGUGAAGAAGUAUUUCGGUAUGUAAAGCUCUAUCAGCAGGGAAGAAAAAGGCGGUACCUGAGUAAGAAUCCCCGGCUAACUACUUGCCAGCAGCCGCGGUAAUACGACGGGGGCAAGCGUUAUCCGGAUUUACUGGGUGUAAAGAGAGCGUAGACGGCAGUGCAAGUCUGGAGUGAAAGGCAGGGGCUCAACCCGCGGACUGCACGGGAUACUGUACGGCUGGAGUGCAGGAGAGGUAAGUGGAAUUCCUAGUGUAGCGGUGAAAUGCGUAGAUAUUAGGAGGAACACCAGUGGCGAAGGCGGCUUACUGGACUGUAACUGACGUUGAGGCGCGAAAGCGUGGGGAGCAAACAGGAUUAGAUACCCUUGUAGUC
Molecule: ribosomal RNA, 440 nt
Filed under: uncultured bacterium
Lineage: Bacteria
Description: partial 16S ribosomal RNA
Rfam family: Bacterial small subunit ribosomal RNA
Source: RNAcentral